This 520-nucleotide ribosomal RNA is filed under the name uncultured bacterium. Its description in RNAcentral is "bacterial SSU rRNA". It matches the Rfam family "Bacterial small subunit ribosomal RNA", at positions 355 to 893 of the family's 1533-position model. The record is from RNAcentral.
UGGGGAAUAUUGGACAAUGGGCGCAAGCCUGAUCCAGCCAUGCCGCGUGAGUGAUGACGGCCUUAGGGUUGUAAAGCUCUUUCGCUCGGGACGAUAAUGACGGUACCGAGAUAAGAAGCCCCGGCUAACUUCGUGCCAGCAGCCGCGGUAAUACGAAGGGGGCUAGCGUUGUUCGGAAUUACUGGGCGUAAAGCGCGUGUAGGCGGGUCUUUAAGUCAGGGGUGAAAUGCCAAGGCUCAACCUUGGAACUGCCUUUGAUACUGGAGAUCUUGAGUCCGGGAGAGGUGAGUGGAACUGCGAGUGUAGAGGUGAAAUUCGUAGAUAUUCGCAAGAACACCAGUGGCGAAGGCGGCUCACUGGCCCGGAACUGACGCUGAGACGCGAAAGCGUGGGGAGCAAACAGGAUUAGAUACCCUGGUAGUCCACGCUGUAAACGAUGGAUGCUAGCCGUUGUCGGGUUUACUCGUCAGUGGCGCAGCUAACGCAUUAAGCAUCCCGCCUGGGGAGUACGGUCGCAAGA